Molecule: ribosomal RNA, 774 nt
Filed under: uncultured Neocallimastigales
Lineage: Eukaryota; Fungi; Neocallimastigomycota; Neocallimastigomycetes; Neocallimastigales
Description: partial large subunit ribosomal RNA
Rfam family: Eukaryotic large subunit ribosomal RNA
Source: RNAcentral
UACUAGAGUAGCACUCGCAUAUCAAUAAGCGGAGGAAAAGAAACUAACAAGGAUUCCCCUAGUAACGGCGAGUGAAGCGGGAAGAGCUCAAAUUUGAAAUCUUAAAGGGUUUCCCUUUACGAAUUGUAGUUUAAAGAAGUGUUUUCUGUUGAGGUUUUGGUAAAAGUUCUUUGGAAUAGGACAUCAUAGAGGGUGAGAAUCCCGUAUUUGACCUUUACUUUCAACUUUGUGAUACACUUUCAAAGAGUCGGAUUGUUUGGGAAUGCAGUCCAAAAUGGGUGGUAAAUUUCAUCUAAAGCUAAAUAUUGGCGAGAGACCGAUAGCGAACAAGUACCGUGAGGGUAAGAUGAAAAGAACUUUGAAAAGAGAGUUAAACAGUACGUGAAAUUGUCAAAAGGGAAGCGUUUGACACCAGUGUUGUUUUUCUGAAAAUCAAUUAAAGAACUGUUUAUGCUAAGCUGUUUAGACUUUAUCAGCUAUCUGCUUAGUUUUGAGCUUUUCUUUAAUGCACUUUUCAGUUAACAAGUCAACAUCAAUUUCUUUUGCUGUAAAAAAGCUUGAGGAAGGUGGCUUGAGAUUCGUCUUAAGUGUUUAUAGCCUCUUGCCUAUGCAGUCGGAGAGAUUGAGGUCUGCAGCGUAGAUCCUUCGAGGCUAAAUGCAUUUGUGCUAAGUUAUAGCAUUUUAUAGACAACUUGUUGACUAUGAUUUGUCUUGUAGCUUACUCGCUUAUGUUAUUUUACCUACGCUUAGGAUGUUGAUCUACAGAGCGAGAGU